This 17-nucleotide microRNA is filed under the name Corchorus olitorius. Its description in RNAcentral is "hsa-miR-44". Lineage: Eukaryota; Viridiplantae; Streptophyta; Magnoliopsida; Malvales; Malvaceae. The record is from RNAcentral.
UUUGGAGGGGAGGGUUU